RNAcentral lists this ribosomal RNA (3093 nucleotides) under Ogataea polymorpha. Its description in RNAcentral is "large subunit ribosomal RNA". The stretch from base 140 to 2814 matches the Rfam family "Bacterial large subunit ribosomal RNA". The record is from RNAcentral. Lineage: Eukaryota; Fungi; Ascomycota; Pichiomycetes; Pichiales; Pichiaceae.
AAGGGUAUAUAUAAAUGAUAUAUAAACAUAAAAAAAAGAAUAGAAAUAAAUGUAUAAUAAAAAUGAAUAAAGAUUAAUUAAUAUGUAGAGAUGGCUAUUGAUAAAUAAGGGUAAAAAAUUAUCUUAGUGUAAAGUAAGAGAUAAAAAACCUAAAGGAAACUGAAAUAAAAGAACUAGGUGAAUUGAAACAUCUUAGUAACCUAAGGAAAAGAAAUCAACAGAGAUUCUAUGAGUAUUGGUGAGAGAAAAUAGAAUAGCUAAAAUAAGUAAAUCGUAAAUAAACGAUUGAAUAGGGGAUAACAAAUCCUAAAGCUAAAUAAUAUCAAUAAGCUUUAACUAGUACCGAAAGGGAAUACUACUAUAUUAGUAAAAUCAUGAGCAAUAAGAGAUCUUUUAAAUGAAAAAGAUUGAUUAUGUACCUUUUGUAUAAUGGGUUAGCAAGUUAUAAUUAUUAGCAAAACAAAAAGUAAAUAAGUUAUAAGGAAAGAGUAAAAAAUAAUUUAUUUUAUAAUAUUUUGAAUAAAUUAUUAAAAGUUAAUAGUUAUAGACCCGAAAGUAGAUGAUCUUAUCAUCACCAAGUGGUUUAAUUAUUAUUAUAAGAAAAAGAGGAAUCUUGAAUAAUAUAAUAAAAUGAAUCGACUGAACAAGUUAAUGUUGCAAUAUUAUUUGAUGAGUGAUGAUAAGUAGUGAAAGACAAAUCUGAUCUACAGAUAGCUGGUUUUUUGUGAAAUAUAUCUUAGUAUAGCAUUAUUAUAGUAAUCAAUAGGUAAAGCAAUUAAUUAUAAUUGGGGUCUUUUAAUUAAGAUUAUCAAUAUAAUUUAAUCUCAUAAAUCUAUUGUAAUUAGGGAAUAAUAAUAGUCAGACUAUUGGCGAUAAGGUUUAUAGUCAAAAGGGAAACAGCCCAGAUUAACAGGUAAAGUUCCAAAUAUUAUAAGAAAACUAAGUGUAAUAAAUAUAGAUCACCUCUAUAACAACUACGAGAUGGGUUUGACAGUAAUCUAUUCUAUGAUCAACGUGUAUCAACGGACUAGUUAUGAAUUAAAACGAUGAUUUUAAUUGAGAGGGAUUAUUAUAGACAAUAAUCGGAACUUAAUAAUAGAAGUAUAAAACUGAACCUGUAAAUAUUAAUAGUUAUAUUAAUAAAAUUAUUAAUAUGGUAACAAAACAUUCAAUGAAAAAAUAUCUUAAUAAAGUUAAGGUAAUAAAUGUGUAGGUAAUUGAAUAGAGAAUGCUGACAUGAGUAACGACUAAGGGGAUAAUCCCCUUCACUUUAAGUAUAAGGUUUUAAUAAAAAAUCGGUCCCUAAGAUUUAUAUUGAAAAGUAUAAAUUAAUAGGUAAUUAAUAAUAAAAAGAAAGACUAAUAAGGAAAAUAACAAUAAUUAGUACAGGAAAACCUUUUUAAAAAAAAUACCGUAAUAAAACCGACACAGGUAUACGAAAGUAGAAAAGAAAGUGAAUAAGAUAACCUCAUUUAAUGAACUCGGCAAAUAUAUUUCUUACGUUAGUCAAAAGGAAAUAAUAAAGAAUAUAUCGUGCGACUGUUUACUAAAAACACAGCACUUUGCGAAAACUAAUAGUUGUAGUAUAAAGUGUGAAUUCUGCCCAAUGCUUAAUAAUAAGAUACUUUAUUGAAAGAUAAGGUAUUCAAAAGUUAAGUCAAUGGCGGCUUUAUAAUGAGAGUCAUAAUGUAGCGAAAUGCCUUGUCUACUAAUUAUAGUCCCGCAUGAAUGGAGUAACGAUGCGAUAACUGUAUCAAAUGAGGUCUUAGUGAAAUUGAAUUAGCGGUGAAGAUGCCGUUUACCUAAAGUUAGACGAGAAGACCUUUUGCAGCUUUACUGUAGGCUAAUUAGUUGUACCUAUUUUACUCAUCUUUUAGCAUAUCAAGUAAUAUAUUGAUAUAACAAUGAAAUACUUGAAUUUGAGAUUAUAGUUACUUAUCUAGAUAAAAUUUAAUUGAUAAUUUUAAAUUCUUAAAUAUGUAAAUUCUGGAGACAGCUUUAGUCUGACAGUUUAAAUGGGGCGUUGAUUUCAUAAAAUGUAACUGAAUAUGUCCAUUUACUAUUUUUAUAAAAAUUUAUUCUAAUAAUUAAUGAGAUAAUCAUUAAUAUUGUUAAAAAUAACGUUGUUAUUAAAAGAGAAUAAACCAUGUAUAGUUAAUCUGAAAGUGAAAUCAGAUAAAAUAAAUGUUAAUCAUUUAAUUUUUUAUAAGUAUAAUAGUAUAACUAUGCAAUAAAUUUUGACAUACAAGUCGAAAUUUUACGUAAGUAUGGUAUAGUGAACAGGCCAUUUUUUUUGUACAAGUGGUCGAUAACGGAUAAAAGCUACGCUAGGGAUAACAGCAUGGUAACGCGAGAGAGUAGAUAUUGUCAGCGUUGUUCGUGACCUCGAUGUCGACUCAACCUAUCCUAUUGGUCGUAGAAGCUAAUAAGGGUUUGACUGUUCGUCAAUUAAAAGGUUACGUGAGUUGGGUUUAAUACGUCGUAAGACAGUAUGGUUUCUAUCUUCUUUAGGACAUAGUUAAUAGAAUUAUAUACCUUAGUACGAAAGGAUUAGGUAUUAUUAAUCAAUGAUUGGACUGUUAUUAUUCAUUUUAAUAAAAUAUUAUUAAAUUUUUAUUUUAUUAAAUACCUUUAUUGUUUAAUAUGAAUAGUAUGCAGUUAAGUUAAAUUAGUUUAUUUUAAGCAUUGAAUGCAUUUCAAAUGUGAAAUUAAAUUCUAGAUAACUAAAUAUUUUAAUAUUAUGCUAGACUAGCAUAUUUAUAGCCUCAUAUUACCAUAGUUAUGAUGGCCUAAUUAAUAUUAAAUUUUUAUUAUACUUCUAUUUAUUUUUUUUAUGUUUUUUUUAUACUUUUUUAGACAAAUUAUUAGUAAUUAUAAAUAAUUUUUAAAAAUUUAAUAAAAAAUCAAAGGUAGAUACCUUUAAAAUUUUGAUGAUUUUUUAUAUCUCGUUGUAUAUUGUCUAUAAAUUAAAAUAUUUAAUAAAUUAAUAUAGACGAUAUAUAACAUUAAAUUAAAUUUUAUUAACUUUUUUAUUUUUUUUUUAUUGUAUUUUUAAUUUAAUUAAAAAUUACUUAUUUUUAUUUUAUUUUUUUU